GUAGGUGGCAAGCGUUGUCCGGAAUUAUUGGGCGUAAAGCGCGCGCAGGCGGUCCUUUAAGUCUGAUGUGAAAGCCCACGGCUCAACCGUGGAGGGUCAUUGGAAACUGGGGGACCUGAGUACAGAAGAGGAAAGCGGAAUUCCAAGUGUAGCGGUGAAAUGCGUAGAGAUUUGGAGGAACACCAGUGGCGAAGGCGGCUUUCUGGUCUGUAACUGACGCUGAGGCGCGAAAGCGUGGGGAGCAAACAGGGAUUAGAUACCCUGGUAGUCCACGCCGUAAACGAUGAGUGCUAAGUGUUAGGGGGGGUUUCCCGCCCCCUUAGUGCUGCAGCUAACGCAUUAAGCACUCCGCCUGGGGAGUACGGCCGCAAGGCUG
Molecule: ribosomal RNA, 376 nt
Filed under: uncultured organism
Description: partial 16S ribosomal RNA
Rfam family: Bacterial small subunit ribosomal RNA
Source: RNAcentral